RNAcentral lists this ribosomal RNA (468 nucleotides) under uncultured bacterium. Its description in RNAcentral is "partial 16S ribosomal RNA". It matches the Rfam family "Bacterial small subunit ribosomal RNA", at positions 28 to 507 of the family's 1533-position model. The record is from RNAcentral.
GACGAACGCUGGCGGCGUGCUUAACACAUGCAAGUCGAACGGAAAGGCCCUGCUUUUGUGGGGUGCUCGAGUGGCGAACGGGUGAGUAACACGUGAGUAACCUGCCCUUGACUUUGGGAUAACUUCAGGAAACUGGGGCUAAUACCGGAUAGGAUCUCCUGCUGCAUGGUGGGGGUUGGAAAGUUUCGGCGGUUGGGGAUGGACUGGCGGCUUAUCAGCUUGUUGGUGGGGUAGUGGCUUACCAAGGCUUUGACGGGUAGCCGGCCUGGGAGGGUGACCGGCCACAUUGGGACUGAGAUACGGCCCAGACUCCUACGGGAGGCAGCAGUGGGGAGUAUUGCACAAUGGGCGGAAGCCUGAUGCAGCAACGCCGCGUGCGGGAUGACGGCCUUCGGGUUGUAAACCGCUUUCGCCUGUGACGAAGCGUGAGUGACGGUAAUGGGUAAAGAAGCACCGGCUAACUACGUG